GUAGGUGGCAAGCGUUGUCCGGGAAUUAUUGGGGCGUAAAGCGCGCGCAGGCGGUUCUUUAAGUCUGAUGUGAAAGCCCACGGGCUCAACCGUGGAGGGUCAUUGGAAACUGGAGAACUUGGGUACAGAAGAGGAAAGCGGAAUUCCACGUGUAGCGGUGAAAUGCGUAGAGAUGUGGAGGAACACCAGUGGCGAAGGCGGCUUUCUGGUCUGUAACUGACGCUGAGGCGCGAAAGCGUGGGGAGCAAACAGGAUUAGAUACCCUGGUAGUCCACGCCGUAAACGAUGAGUGCUAAGUGUUAGGGGGUUUCCGCCCCUUAGUGCUGCAGCUAACGCAUUAAGCACUCCGCCUGGGGAGUACGGCCGCAAAGGCUGA
This 376-nucleotide ribosomal RNA is filed under the name uncultured organism. RNAcentral describes it as "partial 16S ribosomal RNA". It matches the Rfam family "Bacterial small subunit ribosomal RNA", at positions 527 to 897 of the family's 1533-position model. The record is from RNAcentral.